CAGGGAAUGGCUCCCACUGCCAGAGGGCAGGGAUGGAUGGGAGAUUGGGAAUUAGGAAUUGUUCCCUGGGAGGGUGGGCAGGCCCUGGCACAGGGUGCCCAGAGCAGCUGGGGCUGCCCCUGGAUCCCUGGCAGUGCCCAAGGCCAGGCUGGGCAUUGGGGCUGGGAGCAGCCUGGGACAGUGGGAGGUGUCCCUGCCAUGGCAGGGGUGGCACUGGAUGG
Serinus canaria (Common canary) is the source of this 221-nucleotide long non-coding RNA. RefSeq lists it as uncharacterized. The record is from RefSeq and is a predicted model, not a curated record. The transcript has 3 exons. Lineage: Eukaryota; Metazoa; Chordata; Aves; Passeriformes; Fringillidae.